RNA transcript from Gadus chalcogrammus (walleye pollock), 4235 nucleotides. RefSeq lists it as uncharacterized. The transcript has 5 exons. Lineage: Eukaryota; Metazoa; Chordata; Actinopteri; Gadiformes; Gadidae. The record is from RefSeq and is a predicted model, not a curated record.
GUAGAGCACCUGUCGGCAUCUUGCUUGCCGUAGGCUGGGUCACGUUGCGCCUGGGCGUCCAUUUCCGCUUCCGUGCGGUGACAGGCUCUUGCUUGCCGGAGGCUGGGUCACGUAGCUCCUGUGCGUCUAUUUCCGCUUCUGUGCAGUGAUAGGGCUCACUUGGAUGUUGCUGCUGGCUGCGCGCUGCUCAUCGAUACAUAGCCGAUGCCGCCUACUGAACUGUCGCUUUUGUAUAGCGUCCCGUUCCCUGCUCCACGCCACGUUGGCCGGGACUGCCCGAUUGGGUGGCCGACAGUAGCGGCGCAGCGGCGGCCAAUCCACCUAUAAAAACCACUGCUGCUUUGCUUGCACGUUAUUACCGCCUUGCCAGGGCCAGCUCGGACCCGAUCGCAUUGCCGUUCAUUCGGCUAGCGAUAGUUUGUUCCUUUUCCUGUUGUGUCGCUAUCUCUUUUGUUUAGUUGGUGCCACUACAUAUUAAAGUGUGUGUGUUAUGUUAUGCAAGAGUUUUUGCUGAUUUCUCCUUGUUUACUUAUUAUAGUUUUUUUUUGUUUAUUUAAUUAAUUUCUCUUAUUUCCAUUAUGUUUUCUAACUGGUUGCUCUGCGAUCCCCCUCAAUUCAGGUGCUGAGCCUACGGUGGUGGACUGGUGUCCUGGUCACGGUGUCCCUUUUGUAUUGUGUUUGCAUUUGGUUUAUUUUUCAUUUGUUUUACGUGUGGUGUUCCUGGGACCCCCUUUCCUUUGGAUGCAGGUGUUCACAGUAGGUCUCAGCACUGAUUGGAUCUUAUGCCGCUUUUCCACUGCAUGGUACCAACUCGACACGACUCGACUCGACUCGACUCAGCUCGCCUUUUUUGCGUUUCCACCGCGAUCUAGUACCUCAAGUGGCUGCUUUUUCUAGUACCGCCUCGCUCUAGGUUCCAAGCGGCUGAGCCGAUACCAUAAGGUGACGUCGGCAGACGGCCGGCCACUGAUUGGCCAGAGAAUGUGACGAUGUCACGAGAGCGACAUGGCAACCAUGCUGGUAACAGCCAUAACAGCGCCGCAGCCAACAUAUAUUCCACUUCUUCAACUUCUUCAACAUGACAACUAGUAAGUCAACACAGUGGUCCAUUGCUGAGGUGCAGACGCUUCUGUGUCUUGUGGCCGAGGAUAGAAUUCAGAAAGAGCUGGACGGAGCCACCCGUAAUGAAAAGGUUUAUAAGGAGGUCGCUAAGUUGAUGCAAGACAAUGGUUACAUCAGGUCUUACGUGCAGUGUCGAGAUAAGCUCAAAAAACUUAAAAGCGACUAUAAAGCCAUUAAGGACCAGAACGGCAGGAGUGGGUCGAACCGAAAAUCGUGGAAGUGGUACGACCAAAUGGACGCCAUUUACGGCCACAGACCGGCAAACAACGGGAGGGAGAGUGGCAUCGACUCGGCCAUGAGUUUGUUGGAGGAAAUUAAUAAUAAUGACUUCCUAUCUACAAACGAAGAAGGCGGUUUGGUCGACAGUGAUGAACCCCCAGCAGCAGCUUCAACAACGCCACCGCCCACAGAACCACCUUCUCCAGCGUCCAGCACUAGCACCAGCACCAGCACCACUGACAAGAGAAAAAGGAGCCUGUCGCAACAGGAGCACUCGGCUCAAGUGACGGACUGUCUCAGAGAAAUGCACUCCGAUGACAUCGCCCAACAGGAUCGUGCCCGGGCCCAGCGUGACGACCACCUCCAGCUGCUCCUCAUUGACGCCCGAGAAGCGAGGGAGCAGGAAGCAUCAUUGAGGAGAGAGGAGGCGGCACAGACUUCAGAGUUCCACCGAUCGUUCCUUGGUGUGUUCGGCCAACUGGUGGAGGCAAUGCGUGACCGACGUGUUUGAACCACUCCCCCAGCCCCAGAUUCUCUAGUCAAGUUUAUAUUAUAUUAUAAAUAUAAUAAUUAUUCCACUUUUUUGUAAAUAGUUUAUAUUCCACCUUUUUGUAAGAAGUUUAUGUUCCAUCUUUGUGUUUAAAAGUUUGCUGUGCUGCACUGAUUUGCUCCUAUUCUGUUUUAAUAAAUUAUAAGUAACUUAUGUGAUCGUUUCAUGAUUUUCUAAUUCAUCUGUCAUUACACUGGUAGGAAAAGUCAUUACACACAAAAUAAAUAACUAGUAAUUGUUCUUUACCCUCUUUUGGAUUGUGAGGUGCUCAAGUGCCGUCUGUAAAAAGGCAAUAGGAAGUCUAUUAACAUAAGGUAAUAUCAUACUGGGGCAUAAUGUGGCAAAGUUAUAAAAGGUAUUGAAAAAUAUAUACCGCCCAACCUACACCUGGCUGAAUCUUUGCAAAGAAGCUGCAAUCAUAUUCUAAGAUUUUACCAAAUAAUGGUGUAAAUGUUUAAAUAUAAACUUUAAGUGAUAGGACCAGUGCUGUCCUUUUCCCCUAUACAUUAAUUAGGGUUCAGAAAGAAACCAGACCCAGUUCACAUUUUUUAAAGGGUGUCUAGUGUAUUUUCCCUUCAAAUGUUACUCGAUUUUUCUUAAAUCUUUUAGCAUUUAAUGCCAGUAAAUCUUGGUAACCUUUACAAAUGAUAAAACAAAAGUGGAGACAUGUAUGAAAAGUAUAAAAGUUUAAUGUUUUCACAACAUACAAAAUGUGAUGUGUAUACCUACAUGGCAAAUUCAAAAUGUAUUAUAACAUUAAUUAUUCGCCAACAAGAACUGCAUUAGACCCUCCCGUACAUUGAUGCCCUCAACAUCCUGUGCCACUGCCACCCCAGGCUCUGCUGGUUGUACAUCCAACUCGGUCAACUCGGUCUCAUAAGUCUCUCCAUGAUUUUCACAAAGGUUGUGCAGAGCACAGCAAGUCAUAACCAUAGACUUAACCAGUUGGAGAUCAGAGUCGUUCCUUUUCAGGAGGCACCGCCACCUUCCUUUAAGCCGGCCAAAAGCGUUUUCAACAACCACCCUUACUCGACUGAAUUUUCUGUUGAACAUCUGCUGUUCUGCUGUUAGUCGUCCUGUGUCUUGGAAGGGUUUCAAGAGCCAGUUCUGCAAAGGAUAUGCUGAGUCUCCUAGGAUGUAAUAGCCAGCAGUCACCCCUCCAAUGUUCCUGGUGCGAGCUGGGAAGUGGUUCCCUCGGCUGGCUAACUCCCACAGUUUGGACACUCUCAGAACCCUGGCAUCAUGCAUGCUCCCUGCCAGUCCAGCAAACACGUUCCAAAACAGCCCCUUUCCAUCGACAACACCUUGAAGGAGGAUGGAGUGCCAGCCUUUACGGUUGAAGAAGUCACAAUGAUAGUCCUGUGGUGCAAGGAUUGGUAUGUGUGAUCCAUCGAUCGCACCAACACAGUGUGGGAGCCCCCACCUGUUCUCAAUGUAGGUAGCCAUUUCGUGGAACUUCACCUCGUCUGGAUAACGGAUUUGUUCUGGCACCAACAAUGUCUCUGCUGCAGCACAAAAAUCCUGCACACACCGGCACACAGUUGUGAUGCUGACUCCAAAGAGAUGUCCAAUACUCCUAUACUCGGAGCCAGUAGCGAGCUUCCACAGUGCAAUGGCCACUCUCUUCUUCAGGGGCACACAUCCGCGGAAAUUGGUGUCUUGCCGCUCCAAAACUGGACGCAGUUUGUUGGUCAAGAAGCCAAACGUUUCUUCAGACAUCCUGAAGUUCUCCACCCACUGCUCGUUGGUGAAGCCGGGAACAAUCACAUCCCACCAUUCCGAGGAUCGGUUGUGCGCCCAGACCGAUGGUUUGCGGCGGAAAUGUUGUGACGAGAGUAGCAUCUGAAAGACACACACACACAGGCUAAAUAUUUUAGUACUUAUAGAAAUGGCUUGCAAUCAUUAAAACGUUGUACACUGGACUUAUUUUGUACGAGCUAGCUAGCAUUAGCAACAGUUAGCUUACCUGGAUGCGUCUUUUCUUGGAGGCUUGAUUCCUCUCAUCUUCGGCUUCACACUGUUGAAUAUACUCCAACACUCUCCGGGACUUUUCGAGUGUAUUUUGUCUCGCCGCGUGCAGCCUUCUCUGACUCUCUUCUCCUUUGUGUCUUAUAAAAAGCACCAGACCGAGCAGCACGAAUACCAUUGCUUCGAUGUCCUCCAUUGUUUGUUAUGGGGAUUCUGUCCACGCGUGGGUUGGGUAGGUCUUGUUUGCGUCGCGUACAAAAAUACGUCACGGCCCUUUCGCGCAGCCGACCCCGCCCACGUCCCGGAGGUACUAUUUGCGGUGGAAACGCACCCGCGCUGCUACCGUGUCGAGUCGUGUCGAGUCGUGUCGUGUCGA